GACGAACGCUGGCGGCGUGCCUAAUACAUGCAAGUAGAACGCUGAAGAGAGGAGCUUGCUCUUCUUGGAUGAGUUGCGAACGGGUGAGUAACGCGUAGGUAACCUGCCUUGUAGCGGGGGAUAACUAUUGGAAACGAUAGCUAAUACCGCAUAACAAUGGAUGACACAUGUCAUUUAUUUGAAAGGGGCAAUUGCUCCACUACAAGAUGGACCUGCGUUGUAUUAGCUAGUAGGUGAGGUAAUGGCUCACCUAGGCGACGAUACAUAGCCGACCUGAGAGGGUGAUCGGCCACACUGGGACUGAGACACGGCCCAGACUCCUACGGGAGGCAGCAGUAGGGAAUCUUCGGCAAUGGGGGCAACCCUGACCGAGCAACGCCGCGUGAGUGAAGAAGGUUUUCGGAUCGUAAAGCUCUGUUGUAAGUCAAGAACGGGUGUGAGAGUGGAAAGUUCACACUGUGACGGUAGCUUACCAGAAAGGGACGGCUAACUACGUGCCAGCAGCCGCGGUAAUACGUAGGUCCCGAGCGUUGUCCGGAUUUAUUGGGCGUAAAGCGAGCGCAGGCGGUUUGAUAAGUCUGAAGUUAAAGGCUGUGGCUCAACCAUAGUUCGCUUUGGAAACUGUCAAACUUGAGUGCAGAAGGGGAGAGUGGAAUUCCAUGUGUAGCGGUGAAAUGCGUAGAUAUAUGGAGGAACACCGGUGGCGAAAGCGGCUCUCUGGUCUGUAACUGACGCUGAGGCUCGAAAGCGUGGGGAGCGAACAGGAUUAGAUACCCUGGUAGUCCACGCCGUAAACGAUGAGUGCUAGGUGUUGGAUCCUUUCCGGGAUUCAGUGCCGCAGCUAACGCAUUAAGCACUCCGCCUGGGGAGUACGACCGCAAGGUUGAAACUCAAAGGAAUUGACGGGGGCCCGCACAAGCGGUGGAGCAUGUGGUUUAAUUCGAAGCAACGCGAAGAACCUUACCAGGUCUUGACAUCCCGAUGCUAUUUCUAGAGAUAGAAAGUUACUUCGGUACAUCGGUGACAGGUGGUGCAUGGUUGUCGUCAGCUCGUGUCGUGAGAUGUUGGGUUAAGUCCCGCAACGAGCGCAACCCCUAUUGUUAGUUGCCAUCAUUCAGUUGGGCACUCUAGCGAGACUGCCGGUAAUAAACCGGAGGAAGGUGGGGAUGACGUCAAAUCAUCAUGCCCCUUAUGACCUGGGCCACACACGUGCUACAAUGGUUGGUACAACGAGUUGCGAGUCGGUGACGGCGAGCUAAUCUCUUAAAGCCAAUCUCAGUUCGGAUUGUAGGCUGCAACUCGCCUACAUGAAGUCGGAAUCGCUAGUAAUCGCGGAUCAGCACGCCGCGGUGAAUACGUUCCCGGGCCU
Molecule: ribosomal RNA, 1369 nt
Filed under: uncultured bacterium
Lineage: Bacteria
Description: bacterial SSU rRNA
Rfam family: Bacterial small subunit ribosomal RNA
Source: RNAcentral